CCGCGGUGAAUAUGUUCCUGAGCCUUGUACACCCCGCCCGUCAAGCCACGAAAGCCGGGGGCGCCCGAAGUCGUUUGCCUAACCGUAAGGAGGGCGGCGCCGAAGGCGAAACCGGUGAUUGGGACUAAGUCGAAACAAGGUAGCCGUAGGGGAACCUGCGGCUGGAUCACCUCCUU
Molecule: ribosomal RNA, 176 nt
Filed under: uncultured Pelagophyceae
Lineage: Eukaryota; Pelagophyceae
Description: partial Bacterial small subunit ribosomal RNA
Rfam family: Bacterial small subunit ribosomal RNA
Source: RNAcentral